CCUACGGGAGGCAGCAGUGAGGAAUAUUGGUCAAUGGGCGCUAGCCUGAACCAGCCAAGUCGCGUGAAGGAAGACGGCCCUAUGGGUUGUAAACUUCUUUUAUCUGGGAAUAAAGUGCAGUAUGUAUACUGUUUUGCAUGUACCUUAUGAAUAAGGAUCGGCUAACUACGUGCCAGCAGCCGCGGUAAUACGGGGGAUCCAAGCGUUAUCCGGAUUUAUUGGGUUUAAAGGGUGCGUAGGCGGAUGGAUAAGUUAGAUGUGAAAUGUCCGGGCUUAACUCGGGAAGUGCCUCUGAUACUGUUGAGCUAGAGAGUAGGAGCGGUAGGCGGAAUGUAUGGUGUAGCGGUGAAAUGCGUAGAGAUCAGGCAGAACACCGAUUGCGAAGGCAGCUUACCAGUCUAAAACUGACGUUGAGGCACGAAAGCGUGGGGAGCAAACAGGAUUAGAUACCCCAGUAGUC
This 460-nucleotide ribosomal RNA is filed under the name uncultured bacterium. RNAcentral describes it as "partial 16S ribosomal RNA". It matches the Rfam family "Bacterial small subunit ribosomal RNA", at positions 338 to 795 of the family's 1533-position model. The record is from RNAcentral.